GACGAACGCUGGCGGCGUGCCUAACACAUGCAAGUCAACUUGGCUGAAGGAGCAAUCUGACAGUAGAGUGGCGCAAGGGUGCGUAACGCGUAAGUAACUUGCCCAAGGUAAGGAAUAACGUCGAGAAAUCGGCGCUAAUACCUCAUAAUGCAGCGGAUCCGCAUGGAUAUGUUGUUAAAAGGUUUAUCGCCUUGGGAUAGGCUUGCGUCUGAUUAGCUAGUUGGUGUGGUAACGGCACACCAAGGCUACGAUCAGUAACUGGUCUGAGAGGAUGAUCAGUCACACUGGAACUGAGACACGGUCCAGACUCCUACGGGAGGCAGCAGUGAGGAAUAUUGGGCAAAUGCUCGAAAGAGUGACCCAGCAACGCCGCGUGGAGGAUGAAGGUAUUCUAUAUCGUAAACUCCUGUGAGAGCAGACGAAAGACAGAUUAU
This 434-nucleotide ribosomal RNA is filed under the name uncultured bacterium. RNAcentral's name for it is "bacterial SSU rRNA". It matches the Rfam family "Bacterial small subunit ribosomal RNA", at positions 28 to 460 of the family's 1533-position model. The record is from RNAcentral.